GAAAUGCGAUAAGUAAUGUGAAUUGCAGAAUUCAGUGAAUCAUCGAAUCUUUGAACGCACCUUGCACUCCUUGGUAUUCCGAGGAGCAUGCCUGUUUGAGUGUCAUUUGUUUCUUCAAACCAUACAGUUUAUAUGCUAUGGUUUGGAUAUGGGGCUUGCUGGCUGUAGGAAAAUGGUCUAGCUGUCCUGAAAUGUAUUAGCAAGGCUCUUGUUACUAGUCUCUAAGGUGUGAUAUAUAUCUAUACCAAGGGAUUUUAGUCUCAUUAAAUGCAGUCUGGCUUUUAAACAGUCUCUUUUGUGGGGCGAGCGAACUUCUGACCACUUGACCUCAAAUCAGGUAGGACUACCCGCUGAACUUAA
Molecule: ribosomal RNA, 360 nt
Filed under: Collybia sp. 365-564
Lineage: Eukaryota; Fungi; Basidiomycota; Agaricomycetes; Agaricales; Clitocybaceae
Description: eukaryotic LSU rRNA
Rfam family: 5.8S ribosomal RNA (bases 1-105)
Source: RNAcentral